UGAAGAGCCGCCGCUCUUCCGCGUUGGACGGAGGCCGCAAGACAGCGUGCGCGAGGCAGCGGACACUGCUGGAUUUGCGGCAGACGAAGCCGAGACCAAGGCCUGUCAUCUCGAGAAAAUGCAGCUCCUCUACUCUUCUACCUCGAGAGAAAAGCAACUACUUUUGGCGAAAAACGCGCCCGCCGCGCCACUCAGACGCUCUGUUCCCAGGUGUACAUACACAGGAGCUAUCUGGCAUGCCGCGCCCUUUCAGUUAGGUUUUCUGCGAAGACGUCCGAGCGGCGGUUUCCCCCUUCUUCGGGUUGUCUCAAGGAUUCGAACGCUUCUCUUCAGUUGAAGAUGUUCAGACAGAAAGGAGGAGACGACCACGUGUGCGUUGAAGGCGUUCUCUGUGAUUCGAAACCUUCCACAAACCGCGUUCGGUGUCGAUGCCGGCUGUCGCAUAGAGUUGAGACAAGCGGCAAACACAGAAACGCCUUGGCGUCCUGCUCGCAGCUUUGUUUCCCUUUGACACUGUGCUGGGAAGCUUGUAGCACUCGAGCUACGAGAGAGUCGCAGGGUGCGGCGAAGCGUCUAUUUGAAAAACCGGCACCUGCAUUUACUGUCUGGACAAACAUCACGACUUCCACUUGGCGGUCUCCUUUCUAAGGCUCACAUGUACGGCACACACGCACCAGAAUCUUGUUAACCUGGCUCCUGUUGUGGGAACCGGAGGAUCGCCUUUUAACUGGAUCACACCUUGAAGAUCCCUCUUUGCUGGAUCCAAGUUCUAAUGUGUUGGCAGAGCACGGUUACUAUGAAUAUUGAAGACAUCGAAUCUGGGAUGCGUAUGACUCGACUGAUGUUUGCCCGACACACAGCGUCGGUGCUUGCCAGCUCCUUUCCAGGGCAACACCUUACGAUGUUGUGUUCACUGUGUUCGGG
RNAcentral lists this long non-coding RNA (924 nucleotides) under Toxoplasma gondii VEG. The record is from RNAcentral. Lineage: Eukaryota; Apicomplexa; Conoidasida; Eucoccidiorida; Sarcocystidae.